CACGUAGGGACCAAGCGUUGUCCGGAUUUAUUGGGCGUAAAGAGCUCGUAGGCGGUUCAGCAAGUCGGGUGUGAAAACUCUGGGCUCAACCCAGAGACGCCACCCGAUACUGUUGCGACUAGAGUCCGGUAGGGGAGUGGGGAAUUCCUGGUGUAGCGGUGAAAUGCGCAGAUAUCAGGAGGAACACCGGUGGCGAAGGCGCCACUCUGGGCCGGCGCUGACGCUGAGGAGCGAAAGCGUGGGUAGCAAACAGG
Molecule: ribosomal RNA, 254 nt
Filed under: uncultured bacterium
Lineage: Bacteria
Description: partial 16S ribosomal RNA
Rfam family: Bacterial small subunit ribosomal RNA
Source: RNAcentral